CCUUACCUGGUCUUGACAUAGUAAGAACUUUCCAGAGAUGGAUUGGUGCCUUCGGGAACUUACAUACAGGUGCUGCAUGGCUGUCGUCAGCGUCGUGUCGUGAGAUGUUGGGUUAAGUCCCGCAACGAGCGCAACCCUUUUCCUUAUUUGCCAGCGGGUUAAGCCGGGAACUUUAAGGAUACUGCCAGUGACAAACUGGAGGAAGGCGGGGACGACGUCAAGUCAUCAUGGCCCUUACGACCAGGGCUACACACGUGCUACAAUGGUCGGUACAAAGGGUUGCUACCUAGCGAUAGGAUGCUAAUCUCAAAAAAGCCGAUCGUAGUCCGGAUUGGAGUCUGCAACUCGACUCCAUGAAGUCGGAAUCGCUAGUAAUCGCGGAUCAGAAUGCCGCGGUGAAUACGUUCCCGGGCCUUGUACACACCGCCCGUCACACCAUGGGAAUUUGUUGCACCAGAAGUAGGUAGUCUAACCGCAAGGAGGACGCUUACCACGGUGUGGCCGAUGACUGGGGUGAAGUCGUAACAAGGUAAGCGUAGAUGA
This 543-nucleotide ribosomal RNA is filed under the name uncultured bacterium. Its description in RNAcentral is "bacterial SSU rRNA". It matches the Rfam family "Bacterial small subunit ribosomal RNA", at positions 969 to 1509 of the family's 1533-position model. The record is from RNAcentral.